GAGUUUAUGCUGGCUUCAGACAAGCAAGCAAGGAAAAGGGCAAAUCCUUCCUCCCUCCCUUAAAAUACACAGUAUCGGAACCCGCGGGAAGCCGGAGCCCAUUUCAAAGAUUAUGUGAUUUGGUGCCUGGAAGUCAUUACUGGAAAUUUGGCUCUAAGUGAGCUGGCAGUAUCCAGGAAAAUGAUCUUGGGUAUACAGGUAAAUAGAAAUUAUAGCUCUUCAGUGACAGCAAGAGUCAUCAUGAUUUUUUUUUUAGAGUUGUUGAUGACUCAAAUACCACCGAAACAGCUGGAAAUGGCAGCACCUGAAAUGGAAAAAACAAGAGCUGAAAGUUUAUUUUGAAUGAGAGGCAUUGUCCAACUCUGAGACUGAAUGAUGGCAGCUGAGAGUAAGUGCAAGCACAAUCAAUAAUGACUCCAGGUAUGAAAUUAUUCAGAAUCUCUCUUGUUUUCCAUGUUUUUCUCCUGCUACAUUCACAAUGUAUCUGUUCACCGCAAUACUAUCUGUGGAGGAGGAAAAAAUUUCCUCAGUUUAGUUGUUCUUAAUGAUAGCUUUUGAGCUGUCCUGAUUUGAAAUUACAGUGAUAGAAGGGGCUGUUUCACAUAAAAGAAACAAUGUAUUCCAAAGCCAAAUUGUAUAUUGGGCAGGUAAGAAAGCUUCAUCAUUAAAUUGUCUUUAAUAUGCUUCGCUUUUACCUUCUGCCUUAAAUUUUCAUAUUAGCCACUUUCUCUUUUCUGUGCUGUGUAGCUUUGGGCAAGGUUAUUUCAUUGAUCCUGGUCCUUUCCAAUGUUAAUAUUUUAUUGAUAUAGACCAUAGGAACUGCUCUUAAAUUUGUGUUGAACAACCUAAAAUUGCAGCAUUUUAUAUUUGAAUACCACAUCAAGAGUUUGCAAGGUACUUUAACAUCAUAUUUAAUUAAACUUCACUGCAAUACAAUAUGUUGUCCAGAAUAUGUAUUUUUUAAGCCUCCUUCUUUAAUAGUCAUACUUCAUGUGUCAUACGUAUAUAUCACAGACACAUCACUAUAAGCAACAUGCCCCAACUUAUGCUUUGUGUUUUGUUUUAGGAUUUCCUUUUCAAUAUAACUUUUUUUAAAAUUUUUUUUAUUUUUAGGGCUGCAGCUAUGGCAUAUGGAAGUUCCCAGGCUAGGGGUUGAAUUGGAGCUGCAGCUGCCAGCCUAUAUCACAGCCACACCAAUGUCAAAUUCAAGCCAAGAUCCUUAACCCACUGAGCAAGGCCAAGGAUCUAACCCACCUUCUCAUGGAUACUAGUUGGCUUCAUAACCUGGUGAGCCACAACAGGAACUCCUUUUAUCAAUACGAUUUUAAAAAAAAAUAAAAACCUUCCUCCUACUUAUAUUACAAAAAAUAAGACCACUUAGUGAUGCAGAAAUCUUUCUCUCUUUCUUUCUUUCUUUCUUUCUUUCUUUCUUUCUUUCUUUCUUUCUUUCUUUCUUUCUUUCUUUCUUUCUUUUUGAUUUCUAUAAUGAUGUAAAGCACUGAUUGGGCCAGUUAUCACAUGGAAUAUGAAUAUGAAUAAGAUGAAAUUCUUGACUUCAAUGAAAUUAAAGUCUUUUGUUUUCCUUACCAAAUCCUUCUUUGCCAGCACUCUCACUCAACAAUUUCAGUUUAAAAAAAAAAAAAAAAGGCACUUAUUUUAAAACCUGGGGAGGCAAGCUGGAGCCAGGACAGACUUUAUACUUGUUGGAACUGUUCUGACCAUGCUUAGAUGUACAACAUUCUUUUUCAUUUGGUUGCCUUUAUAAUGCAAAGGGCAGAGGCAAAUGAUUCAGAGCACAAUCGGCGCCAUCCAGAGUAUUGAAACACUCCUCUUAAUGACAAUGCCAAGUUACUCUGUUCGUGAAACACUUGAAAAAUGAGAACAGCGAGCCUUCAAGAGAGAACAGAGUUGGCUCCAAUGCUUUCAUUAUCAAAAGAAGAUGUUAAAAUGCAUAGAAAUGUUAAAUCUCUACUAAAAAAA
Molecule: long non-coding RNA, 1980 nt
Filed under: Sus scrofa (pig)
Lineage: Eukaryota; Metazoa; Chordata; Mammalia; Artiodactyla; Suidae
Description: lncRNA (ENSSSCG00025003460.1)
Source: RNAcentral